Molecule: long non-coding RNA, 446 nt
Organism: Thalassophryne amazonica
Lineage: Eukaryota; Metazoa; Chordata; Actinopteri; Batrachoidiformes; Batrachoididae
Exons: 3
Source: RefSeq, a predicted model, not a curated record
CUCUGUUGCCCAUUGCACUGUCUGUGAGUUUGACUUUGGUGGCCGGAAGCAUCACAUUUGCAGUCCUCAUAAUACUGAAGAGGAAAAAGGCAGCAUUAUUGAUAGAUGAUGAAUCAGAUCAGAACUCAGGUUUUGAUCUGCAUGACUGCAGAACAGCUGACACAGAACAUAGAACUGAGACUGACUCCUCUUUCUUCAACAUUUUAUAUGAAUCGCAGUUAACAGAUGCUGCAGUUGCUUCAUCUGAGUCUUAGACUUUCCUACAGAAACCACUAGAAUACAUUCAGCAUAAGUGAUGACAACCCUCAUUUUAAAUAUAAUGUCUCAGUUUUAUAUGUUUGCCUUUAAAAAUUUGCAAUCAACAAAUGCUAAAAAAAACUAUCUUCUUUCAAUUUUACAGGAGACAUUUCAAACAAAAUCUAAAAUAAAUAUUUCAUUGUGUCAUU